ACGGCCGUAGCUCAGUGGUAGAGCAUCUGGUUUGCAUGCAAAGGCCCCAGUUCAGGACUGGGAGAGGCUAUU
Podarcis lilfordi (Lilford's wall lizard) is the source of this 72-nucleotide non-coding RNA. The record is from the annotation of a GenBank genome assembly. NCBI's taxonomy places the organism in Eukaryota, Metazoa, Chordata, Lepidosauria, Squamata, Lacertidae.